UUUGUCAUUCGGCGAAAAUUU
This 21-nucleotide non-coding RNA is filed under the name Caenorhabditis elegans. The record is from RNAcentral. Lineage: Eukaryota; Metazoa; Nematoda; Chromadorea; Rhabditida; Rhabditidae.